GACGAACGCUGGCGGCGUGCUUAACACAUGCAAGUCGAACGGAAAGGCCCUGCUUUUGUGGGGUGCUCGAGUGGCGAACGGGUGAGUAACACGUGAGUAACCUGCCCUUGACUUUGGGAUAACUUCAGGAAACUGGGGCUAAUACCGGAUAGGAGCUCCUGCUGCAUGGUGGGGGUUGGAAAGUUUCGGCGGUUGGGGAUGGACUCGCGGCUUAUCAGCUUGUUGGUGGGGUAGUGGCUUACCAAGGCUUUGACGGGUAGCCGGCCUGAGAGGGUGACCGGCCACAUUGGGACUGAGAUAGGGCCCAGACUCCUACGGGAGGCAGCAGUGGGGAAUAUUGCACAAUGGGCGGAAGCCUGAUGCAGCAACGCCGCGUGCGGGAUGACGGCCUUCGGGUUAUAAACCGCUUUCGCCUGUGACGAAGCGUGAGUGACGGUAAUGGGUAAAGAAGCACCGGCUAACUACGUG
This 468-nucleotide ribosomal RNA is filed under the name uncultured bacterium. RNAcentral's name for it is "partial 16S ribosomal RNA". It matches the Rfam family "Bacterial small subunit ribosomal RNA", at positions 28 to 507 of the family's 1533-position model. The record is from RNAcentral.